AAACAUGUCUUUUUGAGUUGUAUUUAAAGUCUGACCUGCCCACUGAAUAAUUUUAAAUGGCCGCAGUAUUUUGACUGUGCAAAGGUAGCAUAAUCAUUAGUCUUUUAAUUGAAGGCUGGUAUGAACGGUUGGACGAAGUAUAAGCUGUUUCAUAUAAAUUUAUAAUAGAAUUUUAUAUUUUAGUUAAAAAGCUAAAAUUUUAUUAAAAGACGAGAAGACCCUAUAAAUCUUUAUAUUUAAUAUUAACUAAAUUUUUUUGAUUUAUUUUAUUUUUUUUUUAUUGAUUAUUUUGUUGGGGUGAUAUUAAAAUUUAAUAAACUUUUAAUUUUAUAAAAUCAUUAAUUUAUGAAUUAUUGAUCCAUUAAUAGUGAUUAUAAGAUUAAGUUACUUUAGGGAUAACAGCGUAAUUUUUUUUGAGAGUUCAUAUCGACAAAAAAGUUUGCGACCUCGAUGUUGGAUUAAGGUAUAAUUUUGGGUGCAGUUGUUCAAAAAUUAAGUCUGUUCGACUUUUGAAUCCUUACAUGAUC
RNAcentral lists this ribosomal RNA (527 nucleotides) under Anastrepha antunesi. RNAcentral's name for it is "partial small subunit ribosomal RNA". The stretch from base 395 to 527 matches the Rfam family "Bacterial large subunit ribosomal RNA", at positions 2473 to 2605 of the family's 2925-position model. Lineage: Eukaryota; Metazoa; Arthropoda; Insecta; Diptera; Tephritidae. The record is from RNAcentral.